CAAAUGAAUUGACGGGGCCGCACAAGCGGAGGAACAUGUGGUUAAUUCGAUGAUACGCGAGGAACCUUACCUGGGCUUAAAUGUAGAGUGCAUUUUUUAGAGAUAGAAAUUCCCUUCGGGGCUUUCUGCAAGGUGCUGCAUGGUUGUCGUCAGCUCGUGCCGUGAGGUGUCGGGUUAAGUCCCAUAACGAGCGCAACCCUUAUCGUUAGUUGCCAUCUGGUAAUGCAGGGGACUCUAGCGAAACUGCCACCGUAAGGUGAGAGGAAGUGGGAUGACGUCAAAUCAGCACGGCCCUUAUGUCCAGGGCUACACACGUGUUACAAUGGUCGGUACAGAGGGCAGCUACCUGGUGACAGGAUGCUAAUCUCGAAAACCGGUCUCAGUUCGGAUCGAAGUCUGCAACUCGACUUCGUGAAGCUGGAUUCGCUAGUAAUCGCGCAUCAGCCAUGGCGCGGUGAAUACGUUCCCGGGCCUU
Molecule: ribosomal RNA, 475 nt
Filed under: uncultured Sphingobacteriales bacterium
Lineage: Bacteria; Pseudomonadati; Bacteroidota; Sphingobacteriia; Sphingobacteriales
Description: bacterial SSU rRNA
Rfam family: Bacterial small subunit ribosomal RNA
Source: RNAcentral